UACGUAGGGUGCGAGCGUUAAUCGGAAUUACUGGGCGUAAAGCGUGCGUAGGCGGUUUUGUAAGUCUGAUGUGAAAUCUAUGGGCUCAACUCAUAGCCUGCAUCGGAAACUGCAGGGCUCGAGUGUGGGAGAGGUGAGUGGAAUUCCUGGUGUAGCGGUGAAAUGCGUAGAUAUCAGGAGGAACACCUGUGGCGAAAGCGGCUCACUGGACCACAACUGACGCUGAAGCACGAAAGCUAGGGGAGCAAACAGG
Molecule: ribosomal RNA, 253 nt
Filed under: uncultured bacterium
Lineage: Bacteria
Description: partial 16S ribosomal RNA
Rfam family: Bacterial small subunit ribosomal RNA
Source: RNAcentral